Molecule: ribosomal RNA, 460 nt
Filed under: uncultured bacterium
Lineage: Bacteria
Description: partial 16S ribosomal RNA
Rfam family: Bacterial small subunit ribosomal RNA
Source: RNAcentral
CCUACGGGAGGCAGCAGUGAGGAAUAUUGGUCAAUGGGCGCGAGCCUGAACCAGCCAAGUAGCGUGAAGGAUGACUGCCCUACGGGUUGUAAACUUCUUUUAUAAAGGAAUAAAGUGAGGCACGUGUGCCUUUUUGUAUGUACCUUAUGAAUAAGGAUCGGCUAACUCCGUGCCAGCAGCCGCGGUAAUACGGAGGAUCCGAGCGUUAUCCGGAUUUAUUGGGUUUAAAGGGAGCGUAGAUGGGUUGUUAAGUCAGGUGGGAAAGUUUGCGGCUCAACCGUAAUAUUGCAAUUGAAACUGGCAGUCUUGAGUACAGUUGAGGUAGGCGGAAUUCGUGGUGUAGCGGUGAAAUGCUUAGAUAUCACGAAGAACUCCGAUUGCGAAGGCAGCUUACUAGACUGCCACUGACAUUGAUGCACGAAAGUGUGGGUAUCGAACAGGAUUAGAUACCCUUGUAGUC